Molecule: unclassified non-coding RNA, 301 nt
Organism: Aotus nancymaae (Ma's night monkey)
Lineage: Eukaryota; Metazoa; Chordata; Mammalia; Primates; Aotidae
Rfam family: Metazoan signal recognition particle RNA
About the family: The signal recognition particle (SRP) is a universally conserved ribonucleoprotein. It is involved in the co-translational targeting of proteins to membranes.
Source: Ensembl
GCUGGGUGCGGUGAUGCGUGCCUGUGGUCCCAGCUACUCAGGAGGCUGAGGUGGGAGGAUCGCUUGAGCCCAGGAGUUCUGGGCUAUAGUGUGCUAUGCCGAUUGGGUGUCCAAACUAAGUUCAGCAUCAAUAUGGUGACCUCCCAGGAGCAGGGGACCACCAGUUUGCCUAAAGAGGUGUGAAGCAUCCCAGGUCAGAAACAGAGCUGGUCAGAACUCCCGUGCUGAUCAGUAGUGGGAUCUCGCCUGUGAAUAGCCACGGCACUCCAGCCUGGGCAACAUAGCGAAGACCCCCAUCUCU